CGCUAGCGGCAGGCUUAACACAUGCAAGUCGAGGGGCAGCGGGGGUAGCAAUACCUGCCGGCGACCGGCAAACGGGUGCGGAACACGUACGCAAUCUACCUUUAUCCGGGGGAUAGCCCAGUGAAAACUGGAUUAACACCCCAUAAGAAACCAGAGAGGCAUCACUUAGGUUUUAAAAGUUUAUUGGAUAGAGAUGAGCGUGCGUCCCAUUAGCUAGUUGGUAGGGUAACGGCCUACCAAGGCGACGAUGGGUAGCUGGUGUGAGAGCACGACCAGCCACACGGGCACUGAGACACGGGCCCGACUCCUACGGGAGGCAGCAGUGAGGAAUAUUGGUCAAUGGACGCAAGUCUGAACCAGCCAUGCCGCGUGAAGGAUGAAGGCGUUCUGCGUUGUAAACUUCUUUUAUCUGGGAAGAAAUCUCUAUUUUCUAAUGGAGUUGACGGUACCAGAGGAAUAAGCACCGGCUAACUCCGUGCCAGCAGCCGCGGUAAUACGGAGGGUGCAAGCGUUAUCCGGAUUUACUGGGUUUAAAGGGUGUGUAGGCGGGUCUAUAAGUCAGUGGUGAAAUCUCCGGGCUCAACCCGGAAACUGCCAUUGAUACUAUAGGUCUUGAAUAUUGUGGAGGUGGGCGGAAUGUGUCAUGUAGCGGUGAAAUGCUUAGAGAUGACACAGAACACCGAUUGCGAAGGCAGCCCACUGCGCAACUAUUGACGCUGAGGCACGAAAG
RNAcentral lists this ribosomal RNA (730 nucleotides) under uncultured soil bacterium. RNAcentral's name for it is "bacterial SSU rRNA". It matches the Rfam family "Bacterial small subunit ribosomal RNA", at positions 34 to 759 of the family's 1533-position model. The record is from RNAcentral.